RNAcentral lists this ribosomal RNA (301 nucleotides) under uncultured bacterium. RNAcentral describes it as "partial 16S ribosomal RNA". It matches the Rfam family "Bacterial small subunit ribosomal RNA", at positions 509 to 809 of the family's 1533-position model. The record is from RNAcentral.
CAGCAGCCGCGGGAAUACGAAGGGUGCAAGCGUUAAUCGGAAUUACCGGGCGUAAAGCGUGCGUAGGCGGUGAGUUAAGUCUGCUGUGAAAUCCCCGGGCUCAACCUGGGAAUGGCAGUGGAUACUGGCUCGCUAGAGUGUGUCAGAGGAUGGUGGAAUUCCCGGUGUAGCGGUGAAAUGCGUAGAGAUCGGGAGGAACACCAGUGGCGAAGGCGACUCUCUGGUCUGUAACUGACGCUGAGGAGCGAAAGCGUGGGGAGCGAACAGGAUUAGAUACCCCAGUAGUCCCUGUCUCUUAUAA